This 89-nucleotide transfer RNA is filed under the name Saccharothrix coeruleofusca. Its description in RNAcentral is "tRNA-Gly". The record is from RNAcentral. Lineage: Bacteria; Bacillati; Actinomycetota; Actinomycetes; Pseudonocardiales; Pseudonocardiaceae.
UGGACGUGGUGGGGGAAGACACCGCCCCAGGGUAACCGCCCCCGCCGGGGGCUCCCGCACUCAGCGGUUCAAGGCCGCUUCGACCAGCC